Molecule: unclassified non-coding RNA, 984 nt
Filed under: Hevea brasiliensis (rubber tree)
Lineage: Eukaryota; Viridiplantae; Streptophyta; Magnoliopsida; Malpighiales; Euphorbiaceae
Source: RNAcentral
UGAUGAUAAAGGGAAAAAUAAAAAUAGAGAAAGAAAAAGAAGGGUAAAGGAGCUCUAGAUUUAUAAGGGUAUGCGCAGAAAGUGAAAGAGUAACACAAAAAGCAGGGAAAGACCAGGGAAAAUCAAAGGAAAAGAAAGAGGAGGAUUGUUACAAUCGUGAGCUGCUGCUAUCAAGAUGUUCAAGAUAAAGAGUCUACCGGCAGAAAGGGGCAAAGGCGACAUGGCUUGGGAUGAGAAGGGCCAUAGUGAAAUCUCCCAAAUUUUUAUUUCUCUAGAUAGAGAUUAUUUUAGUUGCAUUCAAUUUCAGUAUUUUGAAAAUGGGUCUUUGGUGCUUUCUCCUCCAUAUGGCGCAUAUGAUGGUCAUGGCCCCACUCUUUACACUGUUCAAUUUAAUUACCCAUCAGAGUUCCUCACAAGGGUGAGUGGUAAAUACACCUAUGAUCAUCUCAGGUCAAUAACAUUUACUACCAACAAAGGGACUUAUGGGCCAUAUGGUGGGAAUAAUGCUAGACAUGGAUUAGAGUUAUUUGAGUUCAACUUUAACAUGGGAGAGAAUAAGCAAUUUGGCGGGUUUCAUGGAUUAUACCAUUCGAGAGCGCUCAGGUCAAUUGGAGUAUAUAUCAACCCCAGCGCCACAACACAGACUUCACCGGGGGAAAUCUCAGAGUCCAAAGCGGAUGUUGUCAAGCUCUGGACUUGAGAACAACCAAAAUUCAGCUGUAGUUGUUAUAAUGUUAAUCUAUUGAAGAAAAUUAUCAAAAUCUUGGAUUAAUUAGUAUGAUACUAUAGCCUAGUAGUGGCCUUUGAUAGUUUGAUGUAUACACUUGUCUGGAAUUGCACGUUCCUUACUGAAUAUCUAGCCUAUUUAGGCCUAGUUUGGUUAAAUUGGCAUAAACUCUCACGUCUAAAAUGUUUGAUUUUGGGUUUAAGACCCAGCAUGCAUUGUCAAUUUGAAUUUUCAUAUGAAGAUCCAUAGCAUAUGCC